Molecule: ribosomal RNA, 460 nt
Filed under: uncultured bacterium
Lineage: Bacteria
Description: partial 16S ribosomal RNA
Rfam family: Bacterial small subunit ribosomal RNA
Source: RNAcentral
CCUACGGGGGGCAGCAGUGAGGAAUAUUGGUCAAUGGGCGAGAGCCUGAACCAGCCAAGUCGCGUGAAGGAUGACGGCCCUACGGGUUGUAAACUUCUUUUGUCAGGGAGCAAUUGGGUCCACGCGUGGGCUUAGCGAUAGUACCUGCAGAAAAAGCAUCGGCUAACUCCGUGCCAGCAGCCGCGGUAAUACGGAGGAUGCGAGCGUUAUCCGGUUUUAUUGGGUUUAAAGGGUGCGUAGGCGGAAUAUCAAGUCAGCGGUAAAAAUUCGGGGCUCAACCCCGUCGUGCCGUUGAAACUGAUGGUCUUGAGUGGGCGAGAAGUAGGCGGAAUGCGUGGUGUAGCGGUGAAAUGCAUAGAGAUCACGCAGAACUCCGAUUGCGAAGGCAGCAUACCGGCGCCCAACUGACGCUGAAGCACGAAAGCGUGGGUAUCGAACAGGAUUAGAUACCCGGGUAGUC